UACAGAGGUCUCAAGCGUUGUUCGGAUUCAUUGGGCGUAAAGGGUGCGUAGGUGGCGCGGUAAGUCGGGUGUGAAAUUUCGGAGCUUAACUCCGAAACUGCAUUCGAUACUGCCGUGCUUGAGGACUGGAGAGGAGACUGGAAUUCCAGGUGUAGCGGUGAAAUGCGUAGAUAUCUGGAGGAACACCGGUGGCGAAGGCGGCAUCCUGGACCAAUAUUGACGCUGAGGAGCGAAAGCCAGGGGAGCAAACGGG
Molecule: ribosomal RNA, 253 nt
Filed under: uncultured bacterium
Lineage: Bacteria
Description: partial 16S ribosomal RNA
Rfam family: Bacterial small subunit ribosomal RNA
Source: RNAcentral